Molecule: long non-coding RNA, 1177 nt
Organism: Zea mays
Lineage: Eukaryota; Viridiplantae; Streptophyta; Magnoliopsida; Poales; Poaceae
Exons: 2
Source: RefSeq, a predicted model, not a curated record
CUCAAAAAAUUCCAGCCGCCACAGCUUCCCUGCCUCUUCUUCUUCACGGCGCAACAGCCAGCGCGCAGGGAGUCGAGCUCCCUCUCUGUCCAUGGCGCUCGGCAGCAGGCGCGCCUCGUCCUCCCAUGGCCGCCAAGCUCCCUCAACGCCGGCGUCCUCCUCUCCUCCCCAUGGCUGCAGCAGGCGCCCAGCUCUUCUUCUCCAGCGCAUACCCUCCAGGCAUGGCGGCAGCUCCUCCUCCCUCUGUUUCUUACCGCAGGAGCUGGAGCUCCCUGGAAUCAUGCCGACGCCCUUGAUCUCCUCUUGGCCGCGACCUCCUCUGCCCCUUUAUCCAUGGCCGCCAGCAGCCCUUCCAUGGCCAGCACCCCUCCUGCUCGGCCACACCAUCGGCUGGCCAUGGCGUCCAGGACUCCCUGCGCCCUUUCCCCACUGCAUCUGCCUCCCUCUGCUCUUUCCCUUUGGAGGUGCUGCGCCAUAGCUCUGAUCCGAGGUCGCCCCCUGCUCGCGUCAAGGGUGGCCAGCCCCUGCUGUUGCUGACCAUGGCUGCCCAGCAGCAGGAGACUUUCUCCCCUCGGCUCCCCCAUCCGAGCACCCAAACAGUGCCCCUCCCUGCUCCAUUUUUGUUGUUCCUGCGCCCUCCUCUGCACACAGCGAGCCCCUCCUCGCUGUUCUCUGUGGUACCCGCCGGCUGUUCGUGAAAAUGUGCAGCAAGCCGCAUGCUGCCGGCUCGCUGUUUCGUGAAGCCCGGUAGACAGCACGCCGUGACGCUCGCCGGGCGUUUGCUAUUUUUGGCGCAGACCCGCUCGCGAUGUCAUCGACCCUCGCCACCGUCAAAGUCGCGCUCCGCGCUUGGCCGUUCGACGAAAUGCCAAGCCUUACGGACAGCCCAUGUGACUAGCCUCGAUUCGUCCAGGUUGUUCACUUGGUAUUUUGUGGAUUAAUCUGUUUAAGCUUUGGUCUAUGUUGUGCAUGUGUAAGAAAAUGUAUUUGUAUGGAUUGAAGUUCGUGGCGAAAGAAAAAGAAGUAGAAAGGAACUCGAACGUUUUUAUAUUUCGAUAGGAAUAUAUGCGAUGUAUUGUUUGAUGUGUGCGAUUUGUAGUUUUUUUUAUAAUUAUAUUUUGGUCGAUGUGGUGGGCAUUGGUGUUGGAAGGUGUGUGGGCAUAAAAUGUUUUGGUCA